This 349-nucleotide ribosomal RNA is filed under the name uncultured bacterium. RNAcentral's name for it is "bacterial SSU rRNA". It matches the Rfam family "Bacterial small subunit ribosomal RNA", at positions 73 to 422 of the family's 1533-position model. The record is from RNAcentral.
AAGCCCGCAAGGGUGAGUACAGUGGCGACCGGGUGAGUAACACGUGGACAACCUACCGUCGAGUGGGGAAUAACCUGGGGAAACCGGGGCUAAUACCGCAUAACACCCAGGGGCUUCGGCCCCGGGGUUGAAACCCGCAAGGGGCUUGGCGAGGGGUCCGCGGCUGAUUAGCUAGUUGGUGAGGUAACGGCCCACCAAGGCUUUGAUCGGUAGCCGGCCUAAGAGGGCGGACGGCCACACUGGAACUGAAACACGGUCCAGACUCCUACGGGAGGCAGCAGUGGGGAAUUUUGCGCAAUGGGGGAAACCCUGACGCAGCAACGCCGCGUGGACGAUGAAGCAUCUUGGU